RNAcentral lists this unclassified non-coding RNA (264 nucleotides) under soil metagenome. Its description in RNAcentral is "partial contains small subunit ribosomal RNA, internal transcribed spacer 1, and 5.8S ribosomal RNA". The record is from RNAcentral.
UUUCCGUAGGUGAACCUGCGGAAGGAUCAUUACCGAACCGUCGACACGAGUUGUUGCUGGCCCCUCCGAUGGGGGGGCAUGUGCACACUCUGUUUACACAUCCACUCACACCUGUGCACCCUCUGUGGUUCUAUGGCUUGAGGGGCCUCGUCCCUUUGCCGUGGUUCUACGUUUUUAUACACACCCUGUAGUAAAGUCUUAUGGAAUGUGUGCCGCGUUUAACGCAAUGAAAUACAACUUUCAGCAACGGAUCUCUUGGCUCUC